GACGAACGCUGGCGGCGUGCUUAACACAUGCAAGUCGAACGAUGACGAAGAGACAGGCGAACUUCGGUUCCAAUCUCACUUCUGAUUCGUGGCAGACGGCUGAGUAACGCGUGAGCAACCUACCUCUUACAAAGGGAUAGCCCCGGGAAACCGUGAUUAAUACCAGAUGACACAUUCAUAAUGCAUCUUAAGAAUGUUAAAGGUAGGGCGGUAAGAGAUGGGCUCGCUACCCGUUAGCUAGUGGGCGAGGUAACGGCUCACCAAAGCGACGAUGGGUAACCGGCCUGUGAGGGUGAACGGUGACAUUGGAGCUGGGACACGGUGCAAACUCCUACGGGAGGCAGCAGAGGGGGAUAUUGCACAAUGGAGGGAAGUCAGAUGCAGCGACGCCGGGUGAGCGAUGAAGGAAUUAGUUACGUAAAGCUCUGUUAUAUGGGAAGAAAAGGACGGUACCAGAAGAGAAAGCCCCGGCUAAAUACGUG
RNAcentral lists this ribosomal RNA (482 nucleotides) under uncultured bacterium. RNAcentral describes it as "partial 16S ribosomal RNA". It matches the Rfam family "Bacterial small subunit ribosomal RNA", at positions 28 to 507 of the family's 1533-position model. The record is from RNAcentral.